UGGGGAAUAUUGGACAAUGGGGGCAACCCUGAUCCAGCCAUGCCGCGUGUGUGAAGAAGGCCUUUUGGUUGUAAAGCACUUUAAGCAGUGAAGAAGACUCCAUGGUUAAUACCCAUGGACGAUGACAUUAGCUGCAGAAUAAGCACCGGCUAACUCUGUGCCAGCAGCCGCGGUAAUACAGAGGGUGCAAGCGUUAAUCGGAAUUACUGGGCGUAAAGCGAGCGUAGGUGGCUUGAUAAGUCAGAUGUGAAAGCCCCGGGCUUAACCUGGGAACGGCAUCGGAUACUGUUAGGCUAGAGUAGGUGAGAGGAAGGUAGAAUUCCAGGUGUAGCGGUGAAAUGCGUAGAGAUCUGGAGGAAUACCGAUGGCGAAGGCAGCCUUCUGGCAUCAUACUGACACUGAGGUUCGAAAGCGUGGGUAGCAAACA
Molecule: ribosomal RNA, 427 nt
Filed under: uncultured bacterium
Lineage: Bacteria
Description: partial 16S ribosomal RNA
Rfam family: Bacterial small subunit ribosomal RNA
Source: RNAcentral